AUGUCAUAUAUCUAACUCGUCACUGUUCGUUUUCAGAGAUUUGCUUGAUAUUUGUGCAAAAAGAGCAAACUUAACUAUUUCAUAUCAACUUGGCAUACGGUACGACACAAACAUUGACAUAACAAUCUUGACAUAAUUAUUAGAUAUCCAUAGAUUAGAAAUGAUGCAUAGGGUCCGGUCUGCCAGGGCUACGCCUUUGUCGCUCGUAAACAAACUGGGCCGUCUCCCGUCUCGCUGAUUCCGCCUUCUUCCCUGCGUUGGAGCUCCCAACACCAUGAUGGCUCCUUGACUGGUGUCCAUGGAGCAGCAACCAUGACUCGGACGUCCCAAGCGAGGACAACAUCAAUGCCAAACAGAAAAGGAGACCGAGCCUUGUGUUGAAUCUCCUCAUGAAGGCCUCCUUAUCCUGUGAUC
RNAcentral lists this long non-coding RNA (414 nucleotides) under Musa acuminata (dwarf banana). RNAcentral's name for it is "long non-coding RNA (MACU_LNC001648)". The record is from RNAcentral. Lineage: Eukaryota; Viridiplantae; Streptophyta; Magnoliopsida; Zingiberales; Musaceae.